RNAcentral lists this ribosomal RNA (467 nucleotides) under Leifsonia sp. HE15A. RNAcentral's name for it is "bacterial SSU rRNA". It matches the Rfam family "Bacterial small subunit ribosomal RNA", at positions 38 to 515 of the family's 1533-position model. The record is from RNAcentral. Lineage: Bacteria; Bacillati; Actinomycetota; Actinomycetes; Micrococcales; Microbacteriaceae.
GGCAGGGCGGCGUGCUUACCAUGCAGUCGAACGAUGAACCAGGAGCUUGCUCUUGGGAAUUAGUGGCGAACGGGUGAGUAACACGUGAGUAACCUGCCCUUGACUCUGGGAUAACCUCCGGAAACGGAAGCUAAUACCGGAUACGACGUACGGAGGCAUCUCCUGUACGUGGAAAGAACUUCGGUCAAGGAUGGACUCGCGGCCUAUCAGGUAGUUGGUGAGGUAACGGCUCACCAAGCCUACGACGGGUAGCCGGCCUGAGAGGGUGACCGGCCACACUGGGACUGAGACACGGCCCAGACUCCUACGGGAGGCAGCAGUGGGGAAUAUUGCACAAUGGGCGCAAGCCUGAUGCAGCAACGCCGCGUGAGGGACGACGGCCUUCGGGUUGUAAACCUCUUUUAGUAGGGAAGAAGCGAAAGUGACGGUACCUGCAGAAAAAGCACCGGCUAACUACGUGCCAGAGC